Molecule: ribosomal RNA, 304 nt
Filed under: uncultured Sphingomonadaceae bacterium
Lineage: Bacteria; Pseudomonadati; Pseudomonadota; Alphaproteobacteria; Sphingomonadales; Sphingomonadaceae
Description: bacterial SSU rRNA
Rfam family: Bacterial small subunit ribosomal RNA
Source: RNAcentral
UAACGCGUGGGAAUCUGCCCUGUUGUGGGGGAUAACCGAGGGAAACUUCGGCUAAUACCGCAUACGCCCGGGGCAACUCGGGGAAAGAUUGAUCGCAGCAGGAGGGGCCCGCGUCGGAUUAGCUAGUUGGUGGGGUAACGGCCUACCAAGGCGAUGAUCCGUAGCUGGUCUGAGAGGAUGAUCAGCCACACUGGGACUGAGACACGGCCCAGACUCCUACGGGAGGCAGCAGUGGGGUUUAUUGGACAAUGGGCGCAAGCCUGAUCCAGCAAUGCCCCGUCAGUGAUGAAGGCCUUAGGGUUGU